Molecule: ribosomal RNA, 773 nt
Filed under: uncultured Neocallimastigales
Lineage: Eukaryota; Fungi; Neocallimastigomycota; Neocallimastigomycetes; Neocallimastigales
Description: partial large subunit ribosomal RNA
Rfam family: Eukaryotic large subunit ribosomal RNA (bases 4-664)
Source: RNAcentral
GUACACGCUGUGACUAGCAUAUCAAUAAGCGGAGGAAAAGAAACUAACAAGGAUUCCCUCAGUAACGGCGAGUGAAGCGGGAAGAGCUCAAAUUUGAAAUCUUGAAAGGUCACCUUUCACGAAUUGUAGUUUAAAGAAGUGUUUUCUGUUACGAUCGUAAUAUAAGUUCUUUGGAAUAGGACAUCACAGAGGGUGAGAAUCCCGUCUAUGAUUGCGAUUUGUAGCUUUGUGAUACACUUUCAAAGAGUCGGGUUGUUUGGGAAUGCAGCCCAAAACGGGAGGUAAAUUUCUUCUAAGGCUAAAUAUUCGGCGAGAGACCGAUAGCGAACAAGUACCGUGAGGGAAAGAUGAAAAGAACUUUGAAAAGAGAGUUAAAUAGUACGUGAAAUUGUCAAAAGGGAAGCGUUUAACACCAGUGUUGUUUUCUGAAAAUCAACCUCUGUUAGCUUUAUGCAUGUUUGUUUAGACCUAAUCAGCUAUCUUGCAUGUUCUAUUGUUUGCAGUGGUGCACUUUUCAGUUUACAGGUCAACAUCAGUUUUUUUUACCGUAAAAAAGUUAAAGAAAGGUAGCUCAUGGCUCCGGUCGUGAGUGUUAUAGUCUUUUUCCUAUGCGGUAAGGAGAGACUGAGGUCUGCAGCUGUAGGCUAUUUGGCUAGAUACUCAGGUGCUAUGUGAUACCAUUUCAUAAACAACUUGUUGAUUAUGUUUUGUCUAUUGCAUACUCGCUUGUACUAUCAUACCUACGCUUAGGAUGUUGAGUAGCGACAUACGCA